This 341-nucleotide RNase P RNA is filed under the name Venenivibrio stagnispumantis. RNAcentral's name for it is "Bacterial RNase P class A". It matches the Rfam family "Bacterial RNase P class A". From Rfam's summary of the family: Ribonuclease P (RNase P) is a ubiquitous endoribonuclease, found in archaea, bacteria and eukarya as well as chloroplasts and mitochondria. Its best characterised activity is the generation of mature 5'-ends of tRNAs by cleaving the 5'-leader elements of precursor-tRNAs. The record is from RNAcentral. Lineage: Bacteria; Pseudomonadati; Aquificota; Aquificia; Aquificales; Hydrogenothermaceae.
CAUAGCUUCCAGGCAGUCGCGGAAAGCUUUUUAGCUUUCUGAGGAAAGUCCGGACUCCGAAGGACAGGGAGCUGUCUAAAAGGCAGGUGGGGGCAACCUCACAGAUAGGGCCACAGAGAAUAGACAGCCAAUCCGCCUACCUUAUAAGUAGGGUCAUGGAGGCAAUGGUGAAACGGUGGGGUAAGAGCCCACCAGCAGUAGCGGUGACGCUACUGGCUCGGCAACCCUCUCCCGGAGCAAUUCCAAGUAGGAGGGUGGGUGUGUCCGCCUAUACCCUCGGGUAGGAAGCUUAGAGAAAUGACUGCUAAAACAGAAUCCGGCUUACUCGGAAGCUAUGGCUU